AGCUCAAGGAGAGAUCUUAUGUCGAUGUGGCGUGU
Molecule: small RNA, 35 nt
Filed under: Bombyx mori (domestic silkworm)
Lineage: Eukaryota; Metazoa; Arthropoda; Insecta; Lepidoptera; Bombycidae
Description: ovarian small RNA-12140
Source: RNAcentral